GGUUAAUUAAAAUUAAUAAUUUAUAAAAAAUUAAUCUCGAAUUUAAAAGAUUUAAUUAAAAAUUUUAAGUUAUUGUUAAAAUAUUAUUAUUAAUUUUUAAUUGGGAGUGAAAUAUUAAUCGAUUUUAAAUAUAUCUAGUUUUUUUAGAAUUGAAUAAAAUUCAGCUUUGAAAAUUUUUAGAUAUUUAUAAAUUUAUUUAAUAAAUAAUUUAUUUCAAAGUAAAUAUAAUCGGGAUAAAUUGAUUAUAUUAUUUAUAAAUUAAGGUUAUUUUAUUUUUAAUAGUAAUAAUAAAAUUAUAUUUCUUUUUAAAAAAUUUUUUAAUUUAUAUUUGAAAAUUUAAAAUUUAUGAUUUAAUUUUUAUUUUAAUUAUUUAUAAAAAUUUAUUAAUAAAUAAAAUUUUAUAAAGAAUAAUGAUUAUAUUAGUAAAAUUUAAAUUGUAAUUAAAUAAAGAUAUAAAUUAAAAAUUUAAUUUUAAGGAAUUAGGCAAAAAUUUUAAUAUUAUAAAAUUUAUAUUUACCUGUUUAUCAAAAACAUGUCUUAUUGAUGAUAUUAAUAAUAAGUUUAUUCUGCCCAUUGAAAUAUAAAUUUUAAAAGGCUGCAGUAUAUUAACUGUACAAAGGUAGCAAAAUCAAUAGUUUUUUAAUUGGAAACUGGAAUGAAAGAAUUAAUAAAAUAUAUUCUGUCUCAAUUUUAAUUAAUUAAAUUUAAAUUAAAAGUUAAAAUGCUUUUAUAUAUUUAAUAGACGAUAAGACCCUAAGAAUUUAAUGAAUUUUAGUUAAUUAUUAAUUUUUAUAAUUAAAUUAAUUAAUUAAUUAAUUUUUUUUUAUUGGGAGGGUAAUUAAAUUUAUUAACUUUAAUUAAUAAUUAACAUUGAUAAAUGAAUAAAAUAAUGAUAAUAUUAAUACUUAUAAGAAUUAAUUACCUUAG
Molecule: ribosomal RNA, 927 nt
Filed under: Polistes khasianus
Lineage: Eukaryota; Metazoa; Arthropoda; Insecta; Hymenoptera; Vespidae
Description: partial large subunit ribosomal RNA
Source: RNAcentral